Molecule: ribosomal RNA, 292 nt
Filed under: uncultured Desulfobulbus sp.
Lineage: Bacteria; Pseudomonadati; Thermodesulfobacteriota; Desulfobulbia; Desulfobulbales; Desulfobulbaceae
Description: partial 16S ribosomal RNA
Rfam family: Bacterial small subunit ribosomal RNA
Source: RNAcentral
CAACGAGCGCAACCCUUGCCUUUAGUUGCCAGCAGUUCGGCUGGGCACUCUAAAGGGACUGCCGGUGUUAAACCGGAGGAAGGUGGGGAUGACGUCAAGUCCUCAUGGCCUUUAUGACCAGGGCUACACACGUACUACAAUGGCCGAUACAAAGGGCAGCGACACUGCGAGGUGAAGCCAAUCCCGUAAAAUCGGUCUCAGUCCGGAUUGGAGUCUGCAACUCGACUCCAUGAAGUUGGAAUCGCUAGUAAUCGUGAAUCAGAAUGUCACGGUGAAUACGUUCCCGGGCCUU